ACAUUUCAAAGGAGUCUUGUAGGGUAGUAAGGCUUGUGAUAGCUCUGCAUAAUCUUCAGCUCUAUACACUUGGUCACUGAACCAGUGAUCUGCCCCAGUCAUAUGAGAUGAACUGGCACAACACCUACAAAUGCU
This is a long non-coding RNA of Octopus sinensis (East Asian common octopus), 135 nucleotides long. RefSeq lists it as uncharacterized. The record is from RefSeq and is a predicted model, not a curated record. The transcript is spliced from 3 exons. NCBI's taxonomy places the organism in Eukaryota, Metazoa, Mollusca, Cephalopoda, Octopoda, Octopodidae.